Molecule: long non-coding RNA, 640 nt
Filed under: Lactuca sativa (garden lettuce)
Lineage: Eukaryota; Viridiplantae; Streptophyta; Magnoliopsida; Asterales; Asteraceae
Description: long non-coding RNA (LSAT_LNC002649)
Source: RNAcentral
GGGAAACCUGGUGAGUACAUAGGGUUUUCAACCCACAAUAAUAUAAUUAUUAUGUUCAAUCAAACAAUCAACCCAAUUACCCAUCCCCAUUAUCUUCUUUACUCUUUAAGGAUUUAACCUAAGAGUCAUCUAUCCUGCAUUCGUUUAUUCCGAAGUCCCUUACUUCCAGGGUUAUAGGACUGGCACUAAAUCCAUAGCUGCCAAUGUUCGUUCAUAAAGCACUAAUUCCAUAGCUGCUAUAGUCUAUUCAUCGGGUACUAAAUCCAUAGCUACCAGUCUUUAUCUAAUAGGUACUAAGUCCAUAGCUACCAAUGUUCAACAGGUACUAAGUCCAUAGCUACCAAUUCCAACAGGUACUAAAUCCUUAGCUACCAGCGUCUAACUAAUAGGUACUAAGUCCAUAGCUACCAAUUCCCAACAGGCACUAAAUCCAUAGCUACCAACGUCUAAAAGGUACUAAGUCCAUAGCUACCGGUGUUCGUCCCAUAGGCACUAAGUCUAUAGCUGCCAAUGUAUACUCACGUCAUCUUCUAUCUCUCAUCAUUCAUCUACCCAUCUCAUACCCAACAUAUUCGUAUAUAUAAAAUACGUAUACAGUUUAAAUCCUUUAAAACAUGUAUAAAACGUUCAUCCAGCAUAG